Long non-coding RNA from Dermochelys coriacea (leatherback sea turtle), 4877 nucleotides. RefSeq lists it as uncharacterized. The record is from RefSeq and is a predicted model, not a curated record. The transcript has 3 exons. NCBI's taxonomy places the organism in Eukaryota, Metazoa, Chordata, Testudines, Dermochelyidae.
UGGGAACAUGCCCUGCUUCAUCACAACCUGUCCUGGUUUAUUGCAUUUGGCAACUUUCAAGCAUCUGGUUGCAUGGUGAUGGUUAUUGAUUCUCGAUGUUCUGAUUUCGUUCAUGUUCCUCUUAGCUUUGGCAGUAUGACGUAGGAAAUAAUGUCAUUGAGGCACACUUGUGGAAGGAGCUGACAGAAACUGCACUAGCGGGGAAGAGGACCCUCUUGUUCACCUCCAAGACUUGGAAAAGCCCAUCAGCAACAGACUCCCAUUCAGGGAAAAUUAAAUGACAGGGAGGAGAGAACUUGGUGAGUUUCAGCUGGUGGAGUUUCAUGCUGGUUGUUCUACUGGACUAGAGCGGGUUUGACCUUGUCUGAGGAACAGACAGAGGGGACACGCGCCCUAAUCAACUGUCAUUGGCUAACUUCAGUGUGACAGCACAAUGGCAGCCAUGGAGAUAGUCCCCUGGUGUUCAUCUUGCUUCCAGCUUUGUAGCUACAGAAUUAAAGAUGGCAGCUGAAAUUCACUUUGUCUUUGUAUGGACAGUGGCUUGGAAAACUGAAUCACUGGCUAGAAACCUUAGUCAUUUCCAUAAACAUUGAUAACCUUGUAGGAUUCUCUUAUGACAAAUUAUUAAACUGUAGCAGGAAAUACAUUUCAAGCACCUGACGCUGUAUUGCUUUUUCAGGUGAGAUGGUACCUAUAUUCUUCUAGCUCCUACUCCCAAAAUGCCAUUGGAUUGGAGGGAUCUCUUUGAUUCUGAUGGGGCCAGUCGUUGUCUUCGGGUUAAAGUCUGUUUUGAAGUUGUCAUUUUAAGAGGUCUUCAAGCAAUCCUGGCCCAUUUAAGAAUUUUUCCUGGCUCAUGACUUGUUAGUCAACUAAGGAAGACACUCUCCUCACCAAGGAUGUCAGAGGCUAUGAUCUGCGUGCUCUGUAUGUCGUGUCAUUCCCUAUGGCUCCACUGCUAUACAAGGUAGCAUGGUAAAGUGGAUUAUGGGACUCCACCCUUUGAAAGGGAGCAGGCUUGGGAAACCUUAUAAAAGUGAAAUUGAUUUUAAGUGGCUAUCUUUUGAGAGGGAAAUGCAAAACAGAGAGCAGCUUCCACUGCUCUAGAGCUCAGGAGAACUCAUUAAUAUUUCAUGGAUUUUGCAGCCAUGGAGGCAAAAUUAGGCUUAGAUAGCUGUGAGUAAGUAGGGGUUCAUGGGAUCUAUCCUCUGGCAAUUCCUUUUUAUGGCAAGAAUCCAGUAUCAGCUCAGGCAACCACUAUAAUUAUGCAACAAACGGUUAAAAGACUUUUUUUUUUCUACUGAGGGGUCAGUUGAAAUCUGUUCCACUGUUUAUACGUUAAAAAAAACAACAAAACCAUACAAAAACAACAACAACAAAACCCAACACCUUGAUGCUCUGUACCUUUUGCUAAAGCCAGGUUUAGCACCUGAAUUGUUUUGAGUUACCUCAGGUUUCAUUUAGCACUUUGAACACUGAGUGCCGGGAGUGGGAAGUAACAUGGAAUGAGAAAUGAAGCUGUUUUGUAGAUAAUAAUUCUGUUAAUAAUUCGUCCUAUUCACAUGGGGCCUUGGUCUUCACAUUUUAAACAACAUAAGGAACCCUGUUGAGCAUGUAUGCAUGAUUUAACUUGUAAUAUUCUUGAUUGUUUUACAAGGUUUGUUAUGGAUGGGAAUGUGUAUGCUACUGGUAUGUUUCUUCCUAUAUUACACUCUGUAUGGCUAAUACUGAAUAGUGAAGGCUGAGUUCACCCUCCCACACUUAGAUUGUGCAUCCUUUCAUGCUGACAUUAUACUAGCUUUAUCUCAGCUCAGAAGUGAUUAAUAUUGGAAACUGCGCAAAAUAUGUUUGGCCAUUUCUGAAUUGUGUAUAUAUGAUAAAUACUUCCCCCCGUAUGUUCCAAACAAAAAGUUUGCACCUGAAUAACUUAGUGGAUGAAGAUAUUAACAUGAACAUUGGUUUGUAUUCAUCUUGUUGAGAUAAAAUAAUUUAAGUUUGGAAAAGCUUGAUUCAUCAUUUUUUAAAGUUGUGUUUCAAGUCGGAAAUUUCACUCGAGCUAGAAUUAUUGUAGUCUGAAUUUGUAUUCAUCUGAAAGCUAGAUUGGGUUAGAAUAAUUGAACUGUUGAACUGCUUUAGCUUUGAGAUCAUCUACAAUUUUAGUUUAGAAGAGUCCUUUAAAAACUUAGCUUUUUUAGGUUAUGCAUACAUAAUAAGAUUAUACCGUUUUCUCCUAUGUUCACAUCCGGUAUCUUUCAUAUACAUAAUUUGGAAAUGGCUGAUACUUAAAAAUGCAGAAUGACUGGCUUGUUCAGUAGGCCUCUUUGACGUAUAAGGAACAAACAAAAUUUCUAUUAAAAUAUCAUUUUUAUAGUUCUAAUGAUACGUGCAUUUUAAGGUUAGAAGUUUCUCAAAUGUAUGGUAGAGUUUUACUCUCCGGUUUUCUUAGUUUCCAAACCAUCCAAAUGUUGAGUUGGCACAGAAUUUGAGAUGAUUCAGGGCAUAAAGAUACUAUGGUUAAUAGGGAUGUAAAAUACUAAACGGUUAAAUGGGUAAGCAUUAGACUUACCAGUUAACCACCCUAAUCGUGAACCCCCAGCCGCGCCGGCCGGCCAGCCAGCCGGACCAGCGCCAGGAUGGAUGGACAGAGCAACCCCAGACCGAGCCCCAGGUCAGACGGCCAGAAAAACCCCAGCCCCUCUCCCUUUAAUCAGUUAACCGAUUAAACAACAUAAUUUUAGUAAUUUAUUCUGUUAACUUUUAAAACAGAUAUUUACAUUCUUAAUAGUUAAGAGCAGUUUUGAGGCACGUUGGCGAAGGACAUCCUGGCUUUAGGAUUGUACUGUUAAGGACAUAGUGUUCUGGAAGCAUCAAAUGCAGUUGAUCUAGAGCUAAGAAUUUAAAAACUCCUUUGUCAGUCUUUCAUAAUUCAUAGAUUCAAAGACUGUAAAGCUAGAAGGGGUCAUUAUGGUGAUUGUCUGACUUCCUGCAUAAGAUAAACCAGAGAACCUGACCCAGUAAUUCCUGCAACAAGCCUAUGACUUCUGGCUAAGCUAGAGCAUAUCUUUUAGAAAGAGAUCAGAUCUUGAUUUAAAGAUCACCAGUGAUAGAGAAUCUAGGUAAGUUGUGCCAAUAGUUAAUUAUAUUCACUGUUAAAUUUUUUUCACAGUAUUUCUAAUCUGAAUUUGUCUAGCUUCAGUUUUCAGGCAUUGGAUUUUGCUGUGCCUUUGUUUGCUAGAUUAAAGAGCCCUCUGCUAUCAGAAAUGUUUUUCCCCAUGGUAGGUACUUAUUGACUGCAGUCAAGUCACCUCUUAAGCUUCUUUUGGAUAAACUAAAUAGAUUGUUUCUUUAGUCUCAGGUAGGUUUUCCAGACAUUAAAUCAUUAUUGUAUCUUGUGGUGGGAUGCCUGUCCCACUCUUGGUGAAUAGGUUUUAAUGUGGGCCUGAGGCCAAUUAACUGAACUGCUUGCACCUGGAGUGUGGGCCAGGCCUCAGUUAAUGAUGAAAUCCAGUUGGGGAGGGGCUGGGUGGAGCAGAAAGGGAUUGCAAGGAAAGAGGGAGGAAUUCUGCAGUUGUUCUCCUAGUAGUAGGGAGUGAAGAGACCUGUAGGGGGCAGGAAGGCUCUGGCAGGGUGAGGACAAAGUCUGGGGAAAGGCUUGAUAAGAAGUAGUCCAGGGAGGUGGCAGCAGGAAGUCUGGCAGGAUGAACCUUGACUGCCUGUCUUAGGAAUCUCGGACUGGAACCCAGUGUAGAGAGCGAGCCUGAGUUCACCUACCAGCACUAGUAAGAUGGCAUGAAGCUCCUGGAAAGCGGAUAUGGACUACUGGAAGCCCUGAGAAAAGGCCAGACCAUGAGACCAGAAUGGAGGGUGGCACACUAGAUGGAGGGAUCAGAUAUUUGUUUUUAUUGGACUUUCCGUUAUCCCAGAAAGGGAAAGACAAUGGUCACCUUGUCCAAGGGCUGAGUCACAAGAAGAGAGAUUGCUGCAGGACAGAGUGACUGUCGGCAUAAGCACGGGGUGCUAGAUGAUGAAAGAGCGGCCACAUCCAGCCCCAAGGGGUGCCCUACUGGUGAGUCCAUUUUUCCACAUAGCUCUUUUCUGAAACCUUUCCAAUUUCCCCCCAUAACUUUUAAAAUUUGGAGACCAGAAAAGGACACAGUAUUCCAGUAAUGGUCUCACUAAUGUUGUACAGUAUGGUAAUACCACCUCCUUGCUUCUACUAAAUAUUUCCCUGCAUAUACAUCCAAAGGUUUUAUUAGCUUUUUUUAGCCAUUGCAUUCAUCAGGAGCUUGUGUUUAUCUGUUUAUGCACCAUGAUCCCAUGUUCCUUAUCAGAGCAUUACUUACCAGACACCCUUGUAAGUGUGACCUACAUUCUUUAUCCCUAGAUGUAUGGUCUUACAUUUGACUAUGGUGUUACUAAAGGUUUUACAGUGUAUUGAAACACAUAUUCAAAUGAGCUCAGUUUAUCAAGGUAUCCAGAUUAUUUGUUUAAAACAAUGGAAUUUAAACAUUUGUUUAAGUGCUUUCCUGGAGAGUUAGGCACAUACUUUCCUGAAUCUGGGCCUAGGUGAUUUCCUGAAUUGGGAUGCUUUCCUGAAUCAGGGCCCCUGUGCUUACUUUGGCUAAAAAAGAAACAGAACCACAUUUUUAAAUGAGAAGGCUUGAAGAAUAUUUGCAUAGUUGGAAGGAAUACAAAAGACAGCAGUGGGUUUACUGUUUGUUUUAGCACGAAGAAGAGAGAGGAGAACAGUGAAUGAUAUUGUGCAGUGGUUCUCGACCUGGGGAGCAUGCAUUCCUGGGUGUACAGGGUCUUCCAGGGGGUACAUCAACUUAUCUAAAUAUUUGCCUAGUUUUAGAACAGGCUACAUUAAAAGCACUCAU